This 71-nucleotide transfer RNA is filed under the name Phractocephalus hemioliopterus (redtail catfish). RNAcentral's name for it is "tRNA-Leu". Lineage: Eukaryota; Metazoa; Chordata; Actinopteri; Siluriformes; Pimelodidae. The record is from RNAcentral.
GCUUCUAAAGGAUAAUAGUCCAUCCGUUGUCUAGGAACCAAAAACUCUUGGUGCAACUCCAAGUAGCAGCU